UCGGGGGGAGUGCUUGGAUCGUGUUUAUUCUUUGCUUUUCCGUUGGCUGGCCCCGCAGCCUGGUGGUGUGGCCAGAGGCCGUCCUGCCGCUUGCGGAGCAGCUUUGCCACCUGAUCCACGUGCCAUUUGUUGCUUUGGGGAUUGUGCGGCUUCCUUUCACUUGCCAUUCGGAGAAUGGUUUGUCUUCCUUUAAAGAAUAUUAAAAUGGUCAGGCGAGCAGCCUGCUUUUGAUACAGGCACAGGGGAGUUAUGUCUAAUAUCAUUGCUCCUCUCUUCCUACAGUGCAGUGACCCGCGGGUGCGACAGGUCUCUGGGGGAAUCGUGCCAAAUUCAGGCUGUGGCAUCGCUGGUGGGAGAGGACGUUCCUCCGGGAACGUUACGCAAAGGGCUGCUCGUUGAAGGUGCUCUUGCAACAAGUAUUUCGAAAGCAGCAUUCCUGAACACACAUGGAAGCAGUUAAAUCUGGAAAAAUUUUUCAGGUUGUUGUCGUUUGCCCUUCCCGCUGAAGCAGUGAUCGUGUGCUUGGCAGGGCAGCACGGACACGGAGGGGUUACCACGUUCGGCCCUGGCGGUUUGCUGAUGCAGCCUUCUCUUCACACGGGAACGCGUUUGGCUUAAGUAAAUGCGGUGCCGUUGAAAAGCGCUGACUUGGAGGAAUAACCCCAGACGGGCGUCACGGGCCGGCAGCGCCGCUUCUCCCAGCCCGUGCAUCGGCACCGGCUCAGAACGGCUGCGCCCGAGGGCGAGCGAUCGAUGCUCCGACGCUGCCGGGAGCGGCGGCGGCAGCACUGGGGGGGCACCGCGCCCCCGAGCACGGGCGCUGAGCCGCCCCCGGCUACGCGCUUGUCACCGAAACGGUCGUUGGGCCAUAGAGAAAUGAAAAUGCGAGUAAGCAAACUUGCUAAUUACUAUUGUCCACAAGAAGUGGCGCUGUAGUGUUAAGACCACAUACCCUAGUCAGGUGAGUGAAUAUUUUCAAAAUAAAUACAAUAAUAAUAGUAAUAAUAAUAAUACCAUAAGGCUGCUGUUGGCCCCUGAUAAAUAUAUUAUUAUUUUCCUUUUUUUCCCCCCCUUCUUUUGAGCUUUGUAACGCAUUUUUUCCAUGCUGAGGUUUCUCCUCGGCCACGCGCCAUUCUGUCCCGCUGAAGAUGCUCGUCCGAGACAACACUUCGCUGUCUCUCCUCAGAACUUGACUAUAAAUAGGCUUUUUCCAACCACUCCUAAGGAGAUCCAAGCCUACUGGCAGUAGGAAACUAUCUGGGCAAGAAUCAAACAGAAAAAGUCUUGGUCGUGCAUGGGAUGAAGGGGAGUGACCUUUUCUGCUGGAAACAAGUAGUGGUUGACAGCCCAAGAGCUUCAGAACUUUGUUUUAUUUACCCCUUCAUUGGGUUUUUUUCCUUUUUUUGCAAUUUUUGGUGGCACCUCUGGGUUGCCGUGGUAAGGACACUCCCGCCACACUCGCAUUAAUGCGUUUCACAGCCCUAAUGCUCGCGAGUGGGCCCUGGGGAGCCAUCUCGGGGGCUGGUGACGCUCUUCUCCGCCGAAGGUACCGUGCAGCUCUGGCGUCGGUGGCGUGAUGAGAAAGCCAGCGGUGGGUCUGUGUUUUGGGUCGUGUGGUUGUGAUAGGAACAUGGCUGCACGUUCUGCUCCGUCCGUUUGAUGUAACUUACUGAAAUUUUGGGAAAAAUACUAUCUUUGAGUUUAUCUACGUGAUGUGAAACCCUUAGGGCUACCUUUGUCCCCAAGAAUCACCACCACUGGCCUGCUCUUGAUAACUUACCCAAUACUUUAAGACUGGUUCCAUCACUCAGCUCUAUUCACAGAAAAUACUUGUAGCCAGUUGUUCUUUUGCCACCGGACCCCCUGUUUUUGGGGCACCUUGUCCUAAUGGGCUGUCGCGUUGCUGCGGGGCCACGUGCUGUUCCAGCGUGCUGAUCACCUGAAUGCGUUUGUAUCACUCCCCUUCCAGGCACUACUGCAGGGCGCGAUCUUUGCAUCUAAGAAGCUGCAUUGCUAAACCUGCCAGCGCUGCCUGGGCCCAGGCAAGCUCCGUCUCACCUGACGGCGGCUCGGCCGGCCCCGCUCCUCUAUCGGUGUCAGCAUCCUGCAGUGAUACGGGUGAGGAGCCUCAUUUCAGGGUAGACUGAGCUUGUAGGGGUUUGUAGCUCAUGUCUAUGUUUCAGACUGCAAAUUUCCCUCCCAGACACUGGAAUUUGAGCUCUAUGUGCAUGAGGAGCCUCUCCCCCGUGUACUGCUCUUCCUCAAAAUAGGACUUUGUGGAACAAAUUACAAUGCAGAAAGCUGCAUGGAAGCACCACCAAAGGUGGUGUGACCAGUCAGGGAGUGAUGCUGUGAAGAGCGACGUGUUGUGUCCUGCUGCUUCCACUAAAAAAAAGAAGCCCCUUAGUACCUAUAAAGCCUUGUAUAGAUCCAAAAUUGCUCAGAUGCUACUUCUUGCCUCUAACGGGUGCCUGAGUGUGGAAUCAUGGAAUCAUAGAAUCAUUAAGGUAGGAAAAGACCUGUAAGAUCAUCAAGUCCAACCACCAGCCCAACACUCCCAGGCCUCCUAAACCAUGCCCUGAAGUGCCACGUCUACAUGGCUUUUGAACACCCCCAGGGAUGGUGGCUCCACCACCUCUCUGGGCAGCCUGUGCCAAUGCCUGACCACUCUUGCAGUGAAGAUGUUUUUCCUAAUAUCCCAUGUAAACCUCCCCUGAUGCAGCUUGAGGCCGUUUCGUCUCGCCUUAUUAUUAGUAACUUGGGAGAAGAGACCAACCCCCACCUCACCACAACCUCCCUUCGGGCAGUUGCAGAGAGCGAUGAGGGCUCCCCUCAGCCUCCUCUUCUCCAGGCUAACCCCGCCCCCCAGCUCCCUCAGCUGCCCCCCAGCACACUUGUUCUCCAGACCCUGCCCCAGCUCCGUUGCCCUUCUCUGGACGCGCUCCAGCACCUCGAUGUCAGCCAAGAUGUCUACACAGUGUGCGAGGCAUCAAAGUCCUGCUACAGCUGGUGGAGAUCGGAGCAGUGAAGCCUCAGCAGCUACGAGGUGUCUCCUUCAGGGUGAGUUCAGCCACUGCCGAGGCGCAACGGGUGAGAUCUCCCUUGUGGCCGUGGGAGCUGGGCGUCCUGUGUGUGCAUAGCCACGGAAAUUCAGGUGCCUUUGUCUGGAGCUGAACGCUGCAGGUGCCUGAGGUGUUACCCAGGGUGUCUGUGUGGGACUGGCAGGUGGGACUGGCAGGGGUCUGGGGUAGAUCUGCCGUCCUCCUCCAGUGGUUGCAGAGGCUCAGACAGGGUAUGCAAGGGUGUGAAACAUCUCUAAAUCAUGUGAGCAAACAAACAGGGUUGCUCUGACUGCAGUCAGCCUGCUGCGGGAGAACAAACACUGAAAGAGUGUUAGUGAGAGACUUAAUUGGGGUGGCAUUAGCCAUUAGUCAGCUCUGCCUCCCCUGCAACCAAGGAAAGCCCAUGUAAAUACAGGAGUUGGGGAUACCCAAGAGGCCUGCUCAGGACUGCCGUUUUCCACUUGCUGCUCCUACCUUCUAGGGCUUGUAGCCACCAAUCAGCCCCUUAAAAGCCUCUUCUCUGUAAUUUGGUUAAAUCAAAUUUUUAAAGCCCCAUUUUGGAGAUAGAUAUUAUUUUCUGAGCCAUCGGCUUACUUCUUGGGUAGCUCCUGGGUGAAAACAGCCAUGCCGUGAAGAAGCAGCGACUGCCCAACUGCGACCACCUCUCCUGAGCCAGAGGGUGCCCCAAGGGAGCUGGUUUCGGAAACCCUUCCCCACCAGCGGGGCCAGGACGUCACACGCGGACACACUGCACCUGCCUGGCCUGGGGACGUCCUUGCAGGGGAAAGGACUGCUGGAAGCCCCCGCCAGCUGUUGAGGGAAGCCCACAUGUGCUCUACAAGGGAGAGCUGUUCCUGGCCGCAGAGCUACCCUGCAUCUCAGUGUCACUGCCCAGCUGAGCCGGCUGUCCUUGCUGUGCCAGUAUCCAGUUUUUGAAAUUAUAUAUAUUAUAUAUAUGUAUAUGGACACACCUUUCUCUCUCUCGUAUAUCUGUUCAUAGUAAGCUAAAGAUCAGAUGUUCUCUCCUGGGAAGCAAGACUUGAAUGCUUCAGGCUUUCAUAACCCACCUGAAGAGAUGUUCAGGGUCUCUGUUGUAUUAAUCCAGUAAACGGUUAUUAAAUUGGUAUA
Phalacrocorax carbo (great cormorant) is the source of this 4190-nucleotide non-coding RNA. The record is from RefSeq and is a predicted model, not a curated record. NCBI's taxonomy places the organism in Eukaryota, Metazoa, Chordata, Aves, Suliformes, Phalacrocoracidae.